RNAcentral lists this ribosomal RNA (327 nucleotides) under uncultured eukaryote. RNAcentral's name for it is "partial 18S ribosomal RNA". It matches the Rfam family "Eukaryotic small subunit ribosomal RNA", at positions 1470 to 1796 of the family's 1831-position model. The record is from RNAcentral.
CCCUUAGAUGUUCUGGGCCGCACGCGCGCUACACUGAUUCAUGCAACGAGUUUUGUCCUUGGCUGAAAGGCCUGGGUAAUCUUUGAACGUGAAUCGUGCUGGGGAUAGAUGAUUGCAAUUAUUCAUCUUCAACGAGGAAUUCCUAGUAAACGCAAGUCAUCAGCUUGCAUUGAUUACGUCCCUGCCCUUUGUUCACACCGCCCGUCGCACCUACCGAUUGAAUGGUCCGGUGAAAUCUUCGGAUCUGAGAGAUGUUGGAUUAAUUUCUGACGCCUUUUGGAAAAGUCGCUUAAACCUUAUCAUUUAGAGGAAGGUGAAGUCGUAACA